GCAUCAGUGGCGGAAUGGUAGACGCGUAAGGUUGAGGGCUUUAUGGGAAUUUUCCUGUGGGGGUUCAAGUCCCCCCUGAUGCACCA
RNAcentral lists this transfer RNA (86 nucleotides) under Psychrilyobacter sp. S5. RNAcentral's name for it is "tRNA-Leu". It matches the Rfam family "tRNA". From Rfam's summary of the family: Transfer RNA (tRNA) molecules are approximately 80 nucleotides in length. Their secondary structure includes four short double-helical elements and three loops (D, anti-codon, and T loops). The record is from RNAcentral. Lineage: Bacteria; Fusobacteriati; Fusobacteriota; Fusobacteriia; Fusobacteriales; Fusobacteriaceae. RNAcentral also lists the same sequence under 1 other name.